GGGCCCGUGGCCUAGAAUGGAUAGGGCGCCGGCCUGCGGAGCCGGUAGUCGGGGGUUCAAGUCCCCCCGGGCCCA
RNAcentral lists this transfer RNA (75 nucleotides) under Nitrososphaerota archaeon. Its description in RNAcentral is "tRNA-Arg". It matches the Rfam family "tRNA". Rfam says of the family: Transfer RNA (tRNA) molecules are approximately 80 nucleotides in length. Their secondary structure includes four short double-helical elements and three loops (D, anti-codon, and T loops). Further hydrogen bonds mediate the characteristic L-shaped molecular structure. tRNAs have two regions of fundamental functional importance: the anti-codon, which is responsible for specific mRNA codon recognition, and the 3' end, to which the tRNAs corresponding amino acid is attached (by aminoacyl-tRNA synthetases). tRNAs cope with the degeneracy of the genetic code in two manners: having more than one tRNA (with a specific anti-codon) for a particular amino acid; and 'wobble' base-pairing, i.e. permitting non-standard base-pairing at the 3rd anti-codon position. The record is from RNAcentral. RNAcentral also lists the same sequence under 2 other names. Lineage: Archaea; Thermoproteati; Nitrososphaerota.